This 250-nucleotide ribosomal RNA is filed under the name uncultured bacterium. RNAcentral describes it as "partial 16S ribosomal RNA". It matches the Rfam family "Bacterial small subunit ribosomal RNA", at positions 88 to 339 of the family's 1533-position model. The record is from RNAcentral.
GAGUAAAGUGGCGCACGGGUGAGUAACACGUAGGUUAUCUGCCUUUCAGUGGGGAAUAACUUCGGGAAACCGGAGCUAAUGCCGCAUACGUAAGUAAUUAGAAAGUGGGCGCCCGCAAGGGGCUCAUGCUGAAAGAAGAGCCUGCGUCCUAUUAGCUAGUUGGUGGUGUAAUGGACUACCAAGGCAACGAUAGGUAUCCGGUCUGAGAGGAUGAUCGGACACACUGGAACUGAGACACGGUCCAGACUCC